GGCAGUAGUAGCUCAGUGGUUAAGAUGGUGGACUUCAACUCAGAAGGUGUGAGUUCAAAUCCCAGCUCUGCCA
This is a non-coding RNA of Pangasianodon gigas (Mekong giant catfish), 73 nucleotides long. Lineage: Eukaryota; Metazoa; Chordata; Actinopteri; Siluriformes; Pangasiidae. The record is from the annotation of a GenBank genome assembly.